This 407-nucleotide ribosomal RNA is filed under the name uncultured bacterium. Its description in RNAcentral is "partial 16S ribosomal RNA". It matches the Rfam family "Bacterial small subunit ribosomal RNA", at positions 29 to 526 of the family's 1533-position model. The record is from RNAcentral.
AUUGAACGCUAGCGGGAUGCCUUACACAUGCAAGUCGAACGGAGUGGCGAACGGGUGAGUAAUGUAUCGGAACGUGCCCAGUAGCGGGGGAUAACUACGCGAAAGCGUAGCUAAUCCCGCAUACUAUUGGAGCGGCCGAUAUCGGAUUAGCUAGUUGGUGGGGUAACGGCUCACCAAGGCGACGAUCCGUAGCUGGUUUGAGAGGAAGACCAGCCAAACGGGGACUGAGACACGGCCCAGACUCGUACGGAAGGAAGCAGUGGGGAAUUUUGGACAAUGGGGGAAACCCGGAUACAGCCAUCCCGCGUGUGAGAUGAAGGCCUGCGGGUUGUAAAGCACUUUUGGCAGGAAAGCGGUACCUGAAGAAGAAGCACAGGCUAACUACGUGCCAGCAGCCGCGGUAAGAC